Molecule: transfer RNA, 71 nt
Filed under: Loxodonta africana (African savanna elephant)
Lineage: Eukaryota; Metazoa; Chordata; Mammalia; Proboscidea; Elephantidae
Rfam family: tRNA
About the family: Transfer RNA (tRNA) molecules are approximately 80 nucleotides in length. Their secondary structure includes four short double-helical elements and three loops (D, anti-codon, and T loops). Further hydrogen bonds mediate the characteristic L-shaped molecular structure. tRNAs have two regions of fundamental functional importance: the anti-codon, which is responsible for specific mRNA codon recognition, and the 3' end, to which the tRNAs corresponding amino acid is attached (by aminoacyl-tRNA synthetases). tRNAs cope with the degeneracy of the genetic code in two manners: having more than one tRNA (with a specific anti-codon) for a particular amino acid; and 'wobble' base-pairing, i.e. permitting non-standard base-pairing at the 3rd anti-codon position.
Source: Rfam by way of RNAcentral
GCAUUGGUGAUUCAGUGGUAGAAUUCUCAUCUUUGAUGCCAGAGAGCCAGGUUCAAAUCCUAGCCAAUGCA